AUGUGAUUGUGCGCGUAGCAACAUACUGAGGCUCGCGUGCAAGACUCAUUCCUUGUGCUAUGUUUAUUGUUUGCUUGUGCGUGCAAUGCGCACAUGUGCAUUUUAACACAUUUAUGCCUAUCUUACAUAUCUUUGCUCUAACGAGCAACAAACCAACA
This 158-nucleotide unclassified non-coding RNA is filed under the name soil metagenome. Its description in RNAcentral is "partial internal transcribed spacer 1". The record is from RNAcentral.